GGCUCUGUGGCGCAAUGGAUAGCGCAUUGGACUUCUAGCUUUCCUCUGAUAAGGGAUUCAAAGGUUGCGGGUUCGAGUCCCGCCAGAGUCG
RNAcentral lists this transfer RNA (91 nucleotides) under Loxodonta africana (African savanna elephant). It matches the Rfam family "tRNA". Rfam says of the family: Transfer RNA (tRNA) molecules are approximately 80 nucleotides in length. Lineage: Eukaryota; Metazoa; Chordata; Mammalia; Proboscidea; Elephantidae. The record is from Rfam by way of RNAcentral.